RNAcentral lists this ribosomal RNA (253 nucleotides) under uncultured bacterium. RNAcentral's name for it is "partial 16S ribosomal RNA". It matches the Rfam family "Bacterial small subunit ribosomal RNA", at positions 524 to 776 of the family's 1533-position model. The record is from RNAcentral.
UACAGAGGUGGCGAGCGUUGUUCGGAUUUACUGGGCGUAAAGGGCGCGUAGGCUGCGCGGUGUGUCGGGUGUGAAAUCCCAGGGCCCAACCCUGGAAGUGCGCCCGAAACUGCCGCGCUGGAGUGCGGGAGGGGAGAUCGGAAUGCAUGGCGUAGCGGUGAAAUGCGUUGAUAUCAUGCAGAACACCGGUGGCGAAGGCGGAUCUCUGGAACGCAACUGACGCUGAGGCGCGAAAGCAGGGGGAGCAAACAGG